AACGCACAUUGCGCCCUUUGGUAUUCCGAAGGGCACGCCUGUUCGAGCGCCAUUACACCCUCCAAGCUUUGCUUGAUGUUGGAUGUUGCGUUGGUUAAUUCUUGACGCACGUCUGGAACGUGUAGGCGUCCGUCCUGUCGAGACACCUCGAGCGUAGCAAGACUUUUCAAGUCAUUUUCGCUUUUGUAGGGACUCCAGCGGACUGCCCCCUCUGAUUUAGGGAGUCAACCCCCCCUAAUCAAUCUCAAGAGUUUGGCCUCGGAUCAGGCGGGGAUACCCGCUGAACUUAA
This 290-nucleotide unclassified non-coding RNA is filed under the name uncultured Venturiales. RNAcentral describes it as "sequence contains 5.8S rRNA gene, ITS2, 28S rRNA gene". Lineage: Eukaryota; Fungi; Ascomycota; Dothideomycetes. The record is from RNAcentral.